RNAcentral lists this ribosomal RNA (497 nucleotides) under uncultured bacterium. Its description in RNAcentral is "partial 16S ribosomal RNA". It matches the Rfam family "Bacterial small subunit ribosomal RNA", at positions 28 to 507 of the family's 1533-position model. The record is from RNAcentral.
GAUGAACGCUGGCGGCGUGCUUAAUACAUGCAAGUCGAGCGAACAGACGAGGAGCUUGCUCCUCUGACGUUAGCGGCGGACGGGUGAGUAACACGUGGAUAACCUACCUAUAAGACUGGGAUAACUUCGGGAAACCGGAGCUAAUACCGGAUAAUAUAUUGAACCGCAUGGUUCAAUAGUGAAAGACGGUUUUGCUGUCACUUAUAGAUGGAUCCGCGCCGCAUUAGCUAGUUGGUAAGGUAACGGCUUACCAAGGCGACGAUGCGUAGCCGACCUGAGAGGGUGAUCGGCCACACUAGAACUGAGACACGGUCCAGACUCCUACGGGAGGCAGCAGUAGGGAAUCUUCCGCAAUGGGCGAAAGCCUGACGGAGCAACGCCGCGUGAGUGAUGAAGGUCUUCGGAUCGUAAAACUCUGUUAUUAGGGAAGAACAAAUGUGUAAGUAACUAUGCACGUCUUGACGGUACCUAAUCAGAAAGCCACGGCUAACUACGUG